RNAcentral lists this ribosomal RNA (241 nucleotides) under uncultured bacterium. Its description in RNAcentral is "partial 16S ribosomal RNA". It matches the Rfam family "Bacterial small subunit ribosomal RNA", at positions 536 to 776 of the family's 1533-position model. The record is from RNAcentral.
GAGCGUUGUCCGGAUUUAUUGGUCGGAAAGAGCUCGUAGGCGGCUUGUCGCGUCGUUCGUGAAAACCCACAGCUCAACUGUGGGCUUGCGGUCGAUACGGGCAGGCUGGAGUUCGGUAGGGGAGACUGGAAUUCCUGGUGUAGCGGUGAAAUGCGCAGAUAUCAGGAGGAACACCGGUGGCGAAGGCGGGUCUCUGGGCCGAUACUGACGCUGAGGAGCGAAAGCGUGGGGAGCGAACAGG